GGAGUAUAUAGAUCUUUGUCACAUUGUAUGCGCGCCGCAUCAGACGGGAACCCUAAUUUCAACCACCUUCUCCACGCCUCCAUCGACGAAAAAUGGCUCGUUCUCAGGCGGUGGACGACACAAGGACUCCAUUGAACCACAAAUCGGCGAAAACUCUGUGCGACGAAACCCAAAUUCCUCUACCUUCUAGCCGCCUCCUCCGUCGUAAACGGAGAAACAGAGGAGGAGGACGGUGCCUACACUCCAUUAAACACCAAAUCGGUGACGGCUUCACACCGAUUGCAGUUUGAAUUUCCUUCACAAUCCGAAGUCACCGAAGGUUUUCUUCGAAACCUUACCACGUCGGCAGCAAAAGAACCUCUCCGAAACCAGGAAAAAGGAAUAGAUCUCAUAAUAUUGCAGCAGCUAUGAUUCUCUGCCACACACUUCAAAAUCGUGACAACAAUGGAAAAAGGAUGACAAAAUCAAAGCCGACAAAUCCAGAAAAAGGUGAUGAUGUACAUGGAUUGUAAAAAGAAGUGGCAGGAAAAGAACCAAGAAUGCAUAUAAACUGUAAAAUAAGGGACUGAUCUACAAAAAUAUCAAUCAAAGGAAGCAUGACUUGAAAAAAGAUGACAUGAGCAUGGAGGCAAUGGCAGAUUCAAGGUAAGAAAACUACAUUGUAAAAUGAGUUUUUACAUAUGCAAAAUAUUUAGCACUAUUAGUAACAUUGUGAAAUUAGGAUAACAUAAACAUGGACUUAAUGACAAAUUCAACUUAGAUAACUGCAUAAUCAUGUAGCUGAGAAUUUACAGGAGAUAACAUAAACAUGGACUGAAUGAUGCUUGGAUUCUUGUCCCCUGUAACACAAAAGACAUUAAUAAUUAGUUCCAUUUAGUUUACAAUAAAAGCAUAGUUGUUUGGUACAGUGUUGUCAAAAACGCGCCCAGGGCGCGCUCGGGGCGCGGGUCGCCAUGAUCGAGGCCGGCUUCGCCCCAACAUGGGUGAACCGAGCGAGAUACGUGUGGCGCCGUCGGGGCGCGCUCUGGGCGGUCGGGGCGACUGGAGCGAGAGACGGAACUAGCGGCGGGGGCUUACCUGUUGCCGUCGGCCCUGCAGAUUUUUUGUUUUACACAGAAAAAAGAAGAGGGAGGGGAGAUGGAGACGAAGACAUGAUGAUAGAGAGAGAGAAUUAUGCUACUGAGAGGGUCAUAAAAAAGGAAGAAAAGGAAAGUCAAGAAGAUGUGGUAACAAUAGGAAAACAACCAAUACUACAAAAAUGACAAAAUGGUAAGAAAAACACAUUCUUUCAUUUCUUCCUAGCUGAGUAUUUACAGGAGCUAUAUAUCAUAAACUAACUUCUAUACAGAUAAGUGCAUUUCAGAAAUAGGAAGAAAUAUAUAAAGAAGAUUCAAUCAAGGGGAAUGCAGAUAAGAACUUGAAAAGAAACUCCACCAAGUUUGUGUGCUGAUUCAGUUAAGUGUUUUCAGUUGUGAGGGGUUGGUGAGUGAUUGUAGAAGCAGUUAGGAAAGGGUAUUUAUAGGGUAAAAAAUGGCCAGCAUGCUCUUAAAAAAGUCAUUUAGGUUCCCAAAGAAACAUAAUAAUUAGAAAGGCCUUCCAAAUAACAAAAUUAAUAUAGUCUGUCAUAAAAAUCUAUUAAUAAAUAAGUCUUUUCAUUAUACUUCUUUUAACUACAUAUACUUAAAUAUUAAUCACACAAUACUAAUCUGUCAUUCAAAGAGAAUCAGUGGCAAGUCACUAAUUCAAUUUCACUUACCUGAGCAUAAAGUAGAUUAGGUGUUUCAAUACUAUUAUUAAUCAGUAGUAUUAGAUUUGAUUGUGAAGCAAAAUACCCUCAGAAAAUAAUCAGUAGCAUUACAUUUGAUUGUGAAGUAAAAUACCCUCAGAAAAUAACAUUAAGACAUAGAAAAGAUUGAGAGGUUGUAUUUUUUUAAACGGCUAGAAAUCUACUAUGUUCGAAAUAAAUUUCAUGUAUACAUUAAUAUUCACUGAUUGGGCCUUCUGUAUACAUUAAUAUCUCAUUUAUUGUAGUCUGUAGUAUUUAAAGGAGUCUGUAGUAUUUAAAGGACACUCUUUGAUAGGAAUAUCAAAAGGAAUAAAUGAAACCCUAGAGAGAUAGCAGCCGCCUCUAUCAUUGAAGGAAAUAGAGAGAGAAAUAAAACUUGCUCUCUCAAUAAAGGAGAAGGAGAAAGACACAGAUCUGGAGCAGCAGACUCUCACAUUAGAGGAAAAGGAGAGAGACACAAAUGUGGUGACAGCUGGUGUCUAAACAAUGAUUACAAAAGAGCACAGGUGUGAUCCACGUAUGAACACCUAUUGAACUCUAGCAUGAAACAAACCGUAGGAAGAGAAGAGUUAUACAAAAGGUAAUAGUACAUAUUUAUUCAGCUUCCUCAAAUAUUUUUCUGCCCAAAUCAACAGAGAUUGAGUAUUUAAAUAUGAAUUUGAUUAAGUGAGUCAUUAUAGCAGAAAAAUAAAUAUGAAUAAUUAGAGCUUAUUGCAAUGUUUUACAUGUGUGAGUUUAGAUUAUAUAAAUUUCCAUAUAUAUGGUUGCUUGAGGUUAAAAAAACAACUCAACCCUAAUGAAAUAUUAGCCGCCUUUCACUAUGCAGGAAAAAGGAAAAGCAUACAUGACAUGUCAGACUUGGGGGCUCAAAGCUAUUCUAUUUCAUCAUCACAUAACGGAAUAGGUAUGAAAUUCUUUUCUUUUAAUACAUCAUAACUAAAUGAGACUCAGUUAUAGUUUUUGCAUCUCAAUCUAAUGGGUACAGAUUAAUUACUAUACCUAGUCAGAAUUAUAUCAUCCAUGUUUAAAUUUUUUUCAGAAUAUAGCUAAAGUAUGCUUCUUUUAACUACAUAUACUUAAAUAUUAAACACAUAAUACUACAUCUUGCAAUUAGCGCACUACAACUAAGAUUACUUUUAUUAAUCUGCCAUUCAGAUAGAAUCAGUAGCAAGUUACUAAUUCAAUCACUUUCCUGAUCAUAAAGUAGAUUAGGUAUUCAAUCCAAUUAGUAAAUAACAUUAAGACUUAGAAAAGAUUGAGAGGUUGUAUUUUUUUGAAUUGCCAGAAAUUUCACAAUAGUUCGAAAUAAAUUUCAUGUACUAAUCAUUAUAGUGACAUUAUAAUCUUUCAUACACUAAUUGCUUAAUGCUUUGCAGGUAAUAUUACUGAAUUUAAUGGUGUUUCUACAUUUUUCCAUUUUAUUUAAAGAAAUGACUUACAUGGAUUACUAAUAUAUGUUGCAUUUAUUAUCAGGGACAAAUGGAUCAAUAUGAGCUUUGGAAAUAUGGGGAAAAUAUAUUGGUAAUAGAAAAUAGUAUAAAAUUACUACAACCUAUGUCGAUCCUACAAAAAGGGCUGUAAUCUAUCCCUCUCUCUCUCUAUAUAUAUCCCCAUCUCUCUCUCUAUCUCGGUCUCUCUCUAUAUCUAUCUUGCUAAUUUUUCAUGUUCUAUAAUUCUGAUUUUAUUAUCUAAGUUACUUAUUUUUAAUG
Long non-coding RNA from Salvia splendens (bonfire salvia), 3495 nucleotides. RefSeq lists it as uncharacterized. The transcript has 5 exons. The record is from RefSeq and is a predicted model, not a curated record. Lineage: Eukaryota; Viridiplantae; Streptophyta; Magnoliopsida; Lamiales; Lamiaceae.